This 1212-nucleotide ribosomal RNA is filed under the name Triticum aestivum (bread wheat). RNAcentral describes it as "partial small subunit ribosomal RNA". Lineage: Eukaryota; Viridiplantae; Streptophyta; Magnoliopsida; Poales; Poaceae. The record is from RNAcentral.
AUGGAUGUUAAAAGUGCUUUUCUUAAUGGCUUUAUUGAUGAGGAGGUUUAUGUUAAGCAACCACCUGGUUUCGAGAAUCCAAAGUUUCCCAACCAUGUUUAUAAACUUUCAAAAGCUUUGUAUGGUUUAAAACAAGCCCCACGUUCAUGGUAUGAUAGGUUGAAAACGUUUUUAAUUGGAAAGGGGUUUACCAUGGGAAACAUUGAUAAAACACUCUUUGUACUCAAACAUGGCAACGAUCAACUUUUCGUACAAGUUUAUGUUGAUGAUAUUAUCUUUGGGUGUGCUUCUCAUGCUUUGGUGUCAGAAUUUUCAGAAACUAUGAGCAGGGAAUUUGAAAUGAGCAUGAUGGGUGAACUUACUUACUUUUUGGGACUGCAAAUCAAACAAACAAAGGAUGGCACCUUUUUGCAUCAAAGUAAGUAUACGAAGGAUCUUCUACGGCGCUUUGGGAUGGAAAACCUCAACCCUAUUAUGACACCAAUGGGAUCUACGGCGUCACUUGAUCUUGAUGAGGAAGGUGAAACUGUUGACCAAAAGAUGUAUAGGAGUAUGAUUGGUUCACUUCUUUAUCUCGCCGCUUCUAGACCGGAUAUACAAUUUUAUGUAUGCUUGUGUGCACGGUUUCAAGCUUCUCCACGUGCAUCACAUCUACAAGCUGUCAAGCGGAUCUUCAGGUAUCUACAUGGCACCCAAUCUUUUGGCAUUUGGCUUUCUGCUUCCUCGAGUAUUUCAUUGCGUGCAUUUUCGGACGCUGAUUUUGGAGGUUGUAGAAUUGAUAGAAAGAGUACUUCUGGCACAUGCUUAUUUUUGGGUGAUUCAUUAGUACUUUGGUCUUCUAAGAAACAAAGUUUUGUUGCACAAUCUACUGCUGAAAGUGAAUAUGUAGCUGCUGCUUGUUGUUGCUCACAAAUUUUAUGGAUAAUAGCUACAAUGAAAGAUUAUGGGGUUACUCUAGAAAGUGUACCACUUUAUUGUGAUAACACUAGUGCUAUAUGUAUUGCUAAAAACCCUGUGCAACAUUCUCGAACUAAGCACAUAGACAUAAGAUAUCAUUUUCUUAGAGAUCAUGUUGAAAAAAGAAAUGUUGUGCUACAUUUUAUAGAUACUGAACGUCAAUUGGCAGACAUUUUCACUAAACCAUUGGAUUCUUCUCGAUUUGCUUUUCUUCGAGGUGAACUUGGAGUAAUCAAACCAUACGGGAUGGUUUGA